CAUGCAAGUCGCACGAGAACGCUUCAGCUUGCUGGAGCUAGUAAAGUGGCGCACGGGUGAGUAACGCGUGGGUAAUCUACCUCCGAAUUGGGGAUAACACUGCGAAAGCGGUGCUAAUACCGAAUGACAUCCCCGAGACCUUGGUUUCGGGGAUCAAAGGUGGCCUCUACAUGUAAGCUACCGUUUGGAGAUGAGCCCGCGUACCAUUAGCUAGUUGGUAGGGUAAUGGCCUACCAAGGCUGCGAUGGUUAGCUGGUCUGAGAGGAUGAUCAGCCACACUGGAACUGACACACGGUCCAGACUCCUACGGGAGGCAGCAGUGAGGAAUUUUGCGCAAUGGGGGAAACCCUGACGCAGCAACGCCGCGUGAGUGAUGAAGGCUUUCGGGUCGUAAAGCUCUGUCAAGUGGGAAGAACAUGCCCUGUGAUAAUACCAUGGGGCACUGACGGUACCACUGAAGGAAGCACCGGCUAACUCCGUGCCAGCAGCCGCGGUAAUACGGGGGGUGCAAGCGUUAUUCGGAAUCAUUGGGCGUAAAGGGCGCGUAGGCGGCCCCUUAAGUCAGAUGUGAAAGCCCUCAGCUUAACUGAGGAAGUGCAUUUGAAACUAAGGGGCUUGAGUAUGGGAGAGGGAAGCGGAAUUCCUGGUGUAGCGGUGAAAUGCGUAGAUAUCAGGAGGAACACCGGUGGCGAAGGCGGCUUCCUGGACCAAUACUGACGCUGAGGCGCGAAGGCGUGGGGAGCAAACAGGAUUAGAUACCCUGGUAGUC
RNAcentral lists this ribosomal RNA (769 nucleotides) under uncultured bacterium. RNAcentral's name for it is "bacterial SSU rRNA". It matches the Rfam family "Bacterial small subunit ribosomal RNA", at positions 54 to 795 of the family's 1533-position model. The record is from RNAcentral.